This 2969-nucleotide long non-coding RNA is filed under the name Mus musculus (house mouse). RNAcentral describes it as "RIKEN cDNA A930033H14 gene". Lineage: Eukaryota; Metazoa; Chordata; Mammalia; Rodentia; Muridae. The record is from RNAcentral.
AAAGCGGUGGCGGCCUCCGAUCGCUCUCUCUCUCUCCACCGUGACGUGAGCAGCCUUGGCGGCUAUUUAUAACCACACGAUUGGAUUUCAUUCAUGAAACCAGGGCCUGGUGUGUCUGAGCUGUGGGACGCGAGGUGGCGAAGGUGCUGCGGCUGCACGCACACCGGAGGGGCCUGGGCUCCAGGGCCGGGAUCAGCGUGCGUCCCGCUACCCCGGGGACCCGGCCUUAAGCCAAGCGGAGAUCAGAGCAGGGCAGGGUGUGUGCGAGCUGUCCCCGCGCCCCCUCCCCGCAGCAUCCCACCCACUCCCGAACAUCCGCUGGCCCUCAGUCCUGGGCUCAGGAAAAGAAAUCUUGGAAGGGAAAACCAGUUUCGGGGACACUGUGGACUUUCAAGCCGAUUGUGAGUUCUGGGGGCAGAGUUCUGGUUACUUUUCACGGAUCCGCAGAAGAACUGCCUAGGUGCCUAGGGGUGUCUGGCAUCACGCGAUGCUCUAAGGAGGUGACAGGGAACUGCAACUAACUUGGCUCCUGUCCGCAGGGAACUUUCAGUCCGCCUUCUCAACUGCCUGUUAGACUGGGCUGUGUAAUCCGCUCACUCUAGUCCUGCAACGAGACGAGACAGCUGGCGGAUUAGGAUGUGAAUGCCUUCAACUAGGGAUGUGCUACGUUUAUAAAACCCUUCUAAAGGCUGACAUGGAGCACACAAAAAAUGGCCACGCUACAUCCUUGGCCUCCAUCAGUUCUUAGCUAAGGCCUUGCCAGCAUCUCGAAAGGGUGGGAAAGAUAGAUAGCCGUAUUUUACUGUGAGGACGGUUACUUAGGGCUAUCCUUCAACUUCCCUUAAAAAAAUGAAUAGCAAACAAAACCCUCUCUCACAGUAACGCCUCCGUCCCUCCUUUUCAGGAAACCACAUUUGGUUUUCUUAGAUGGACUUCUCUUCCUCCCCAGGAUCUCUGGUUUCCAGUCUCUUUGGCAAUUUCCUGCCCCUCCCUUAGAUCCUCCCAUAGCUGGUCUCCAACUCUCGCUAUGUUGCCAAGGCUGGCCUUGAACUCCUGCAACCUCGGCCUUGCAGGUUUGUACCACCAACAGGCUAAGCAAACGAAAUGUUUUUAAAUAAGAAAAUGUUGUGCAGGCAACCUGCGGUAUUUAAGCAAUCCUUAAUGUACUGUUGUGGUUGGAGAUGGGGUCAUCAAGGCCAUAACCUUUUGAUGCUAGCAAGAGAAGGAAGGAAGAAGUCAAAUUCCCGUGUCUGAGGAGUUCAAGGUGGAUCGUGACUGAAUAUGGUCAUUUGCUUGGCAAGGGGUAGACUCCCCUCAGCCUGCUUUAAAAGGACACCAUGUUGAAAGACUCAAUCAAUAGAUACUCUCUCCAGGAAUAUAUUAGGGAAAGUUAAUUAACCCCGUUGUUGCUAACUAGCUACUUCUCGGCAAGUCAGUUCUUUUCAAACUACCUUGGGGCACCGAGGAAUAGAACAGUAACUAAGAAAUGGGAACUUAGAAACUAAGAAAUAUGUAUUGUGGCCCCAAGUGCAGCGGGGAAUGGCUUUCCUCUCUUUUUUUUCCUUAAGAUUAUUAUACCACCACAACUGAUGAGGCAGGCCAUUGGAACCAUUUUACAGAUGGGGUAACUGAGGCAAGGGCAAUUUGCAUUUUUUCAGUAUUGUUAGUGGUUGACUUUUGUGCCCCAGGGUCAUCGAGGGCUGGCUUUAUUUUAUCACUAACCUUUGUUGUAACAUCCGGUCCCCUUCAGGUGUCUUUCACUUCCUCAGUCACACAUUCAAAAGAUGAACCUGCCAUAACUUUCGAAAAAUGCCAGGCAUAAUGGCAUGCCCCUGUGGUUCCCCCACACUGCCAGAGGUAGAGACAGCAGGAUGCCUGGGGCUCACUGGUUCUAAAGCCUCUCUGAUUCAGUGGCCCCUAGUUCCUGUGGGGGAGGGGGGAAGGGACAGAUCCUAAGGAACAACCCCAAGGUUGACCUCUGAACUCCACAAGUACGUGCACAGGCGAGUGCCACCCUUUACCACCCCUCCCCCCACAUGGCAGCAUAUGCACACACCUGCACAUAUUUCUGAAGCAUCAGAGAGGUUGUAAGAGUAGAAAGACACCUAGUACUGUGCAUACUCUUGGGGUGCCUGACCAUCUCCUGAGCCCCCCCCCCCCCCCCCGACCAUCCUUGUAGAGUGGAUAAGGAAUGCCUACUAGCCAUUUUGCUACCAUUUUUGACCUCAUGGCAUACCUAAACUUGAGGGGGAACUGAUCUGGAGAACUUCCAGGAAAAUAAAUUGCUACUAAUGGAGAUUUCAGAGACAGCAGAAGAAAAAAAAAAAUUACUGGAACUUUGUACCAAGCAAGGACAGGGAUGUCAAGAAGACACUGCCAUCGACAUGCGGGGCCCAUGGUGCCCCAAACUUCACACACGGGACCUCUGAUUCAUGAAGGUGGGAGGAGUGGGCAUACAGCAUGGACCGUGACCGCCGGCAGAAAAGAGGGGAUAAAAGCAAAGCGGAUAGCGCAGCUUCACGCAAGAGCUCAGCUGUGCUCCAGCCCACCAAAGAACCAGCCUUCCUGCUCGCUAACACAAUCUGCAUCAUUCACCUGAGAUAUACAAGGACUGGAGGCCUCACUGGGAAUUAGCCAACAUUUCUCUCUCAACACAAAUUUUCUUGCACAAUGGUGAUGUUAAACUUGUUAUGGUAGGUAUUUUAACCAAUGAUGUUGCCCUUCACACACACACACACAUACACACACACACAGCCAAAAUAAAUAAAAUAAAAUAAAAUAAAAUAAAAACACCCCCUCCACCAACACCAAAUCAAAACAACACCAACAACCAAAACCAUCCCAGACUGGCCACCUCACACGUGCAUGCUGAUGCACAUACAUACACAAUAAUUAUAACUUAAAAAUUUAAAUACCAGAAUUUACAUAUAGAAGUGUUCUUUAAUUACCAAUAAACUCACUCACUACUG